This 128-nucleotide small nucleolar RNA is filed under the name Microcebus murinus (gray mouse lemur). RNAcentral's name for it is "Small nucleolar RNA SNORA51 (ENSMICG00000022213.3)". It matches the Rfam family "Small nucleolar RNA SNORA51". Rfam says of the family: ACA51 is a member of the H/ACA class of snoRNA that guide the sites of modification of uridines to pseudouridines. Lineage: Eukaryota; Metazoa; Chordata; Mammalia; Primates; Cheirogaleidae. The record is from Rfam by way of RNAcentral.
GGCCUUAUAGUGCUUACCACAGGCUGUGUUCUUACACUGACUGUAUAGAAAGAGGACCUAGAGUAAACCCUACCUGAUAUACACCCAAGGCCCUGUGUCUGGUCUGUAUUGUGAACAGGGGGAUAUGG